RNAcentral lists this small RNA (16 nucleotides) under Arabidopsis thaliana (thale cress). Its description in RNAcentral is "ATSL302210". The record is from RNAcentral. Lineage: Eukaryota; Viridiplantae; Streptophyta; Magnoliopsida; Brassicales; Brassicaceae.
GAGAAGGAAAAUGAAC